GUGUCAGCCGCCGCGGUAAGACAGAGGGUGCAAACGUUGUUCGGAAUGACUGGGCGUAAAGCGCGUGUAGGCGGCUCGGCAAGUCGGAUGUGAAAGCCCUGGGCUCAACCCAGGAAGUGCACUCGAAACUGCCGAGCUGGAGUCCCGGAGAGGAAGGCGGAAUUCUCGGUGUAGAGGUGAAAUUCGUAGAUAUCGAGAGGAACACCGGUGGCGAAGGCGGCCUUCUGGACGGCGACUGACGCUGAGACGCGAAAGCGUGGGGAGCAAACAGGAUUAGAAACCCUCGUAGUCC
This 292-nucleotide ribosomal RNA is filed under the name uncultured bacterium. RNAcentral's name for it is "partial 16S ribosomal RNA". It matches the Rfam family "Bacterial small subunit ribosomal RNA", at positions 505 to 796 of the family's 1533-position model. The record is from RNAcentral.